UACGUAGGGGGCAAGCGUUGUCCGGAUUUAUUGGGCGUAAAGAGCGUGUAGGCGGCUUUGCAAGUCCGUUGUGAAAACUCGAGGCUCAACCUCGAGACGCCGGUGGAAACUGCAAAGCUAGAGUCCGGAAGAGGAGAGUGGAAUUCCUGGUGUAGCGGUGAAAUGCGUAGAUAUCAGGAGGAACACCUGCGGUGUAGACGGCUUUCUGGACCAUAACUGACGCUGAGAUACGAAAGCGUGGGUAGCAAACAGG
RNAcentral lists this ribosomal RNA (253 nucleotides) under uncultured bacterium. Its description in RNAcentral is "partial 16S ribosomal RNA". It matches the Rfam family "Bacterial small subunit ribosomal RNA", at positions 524 to 776 of the family's 1533-position model. The record is from RNAcentral.